GUCUGGGCGCAGUGGUUUAUCGAUCUCUUCCUUGCCUUGUGCUGGUCCGGCCGGGAGUGGUGGUUCAAGCGUUUUAUUGUUGCAGCAGCUCGCAAACAACGCGGGAAUCGGUCGAUAAACCUCUGCAUCCAGC
Molecule: non-coding RNA, 133 nt
Organism: Zea mays
Lineage: Eukaryota; Viridiplantae; Streptophyta; Magnoliopsida; Poales; Poaceae
Source: Rfam